AUUGAACGCUGGCGGCAGGCCUAACACAUGCAAGUCGAGCGGAUGAAGGGAGCUUGCUCCUGGAUUCAGCGGCGGACGGGUGAGUAAUGCCUAGGAAUCUGCCUGGUAGUGGGGGAUAACGUCCGGAAACGGGCGCUAAUACCGCAUACGUCCUGCGGGAGAAAGUGGGGGAUCUUCGGACCUCACGCUAUCAGAUGAGCCUAGGUCGGAUUAGCUAGUUGGUGGGGUAAAGGCCUACCAAGGCGACGAUCCGUAACUGGUCUGAGAGGAUGAUCAGUCACACUGGAACUGAGACACGGUCCAGACUCCUACGAGAGGCAGCAGUGGGGAAUAUUGGACAAUGGGCGAAAGCCUGAUACAGCCAUGCCGCGUGUGUGAAGAAGGUCUUCGGAUUGUAAAGCACUUUAAGUUGGGAGGAAGGGCAGUAAGUUAAUACCUUGCUGUUUUGACGUUACCAACAGAAUAAGCACCGGCUAACUUCGUG
This 484-nucleotide ribosomal RNA is filed under the name uncultured bacterium. Its description in RNAcentral is "partial 16S ribosomal RNA". It matches the Rfam family "Bacterial small subunit ribosomal RNA", at positions 30 to 507 of the family's 1533-position model. The record is from RNAcentral.